CAUUUUACUACUGGAAUUACACAUCUUUAUUUACUGUCCUUAACACCCGGAGGCUACUUGAAGAAGGAUUUAAUUUUCAAAGUCCAGUCACUCAAUGCCUAGCCCUGCCACUAAUGUCUUGGUCAGCUCCUGGCAAAAGCCCAUCUGUCAACAUCAACAUCAACCUCAUUACCACCUCAAAUGAGUCCACACUGCAAAUUUACUCCAUUAUAUUUAGGACUUUCCAGAGGUUCAAGAUAACCUGGACCGAGGCCUGGGAAGAGGUUCCGUUUAGAAGUUGCCUGACAAAGUCAUAUGUAAUAUCUAAACCAAAUUUUGUCACAUGGGAG
Molecule: long non-coding RNA, 329 nt
Organism: Myotis lucifugus (little brown bat)
Lineage: Eukaryota; Metazoa; Chordata; Mammalia; Chiroptera; Vespertilionidae
Exons: 3
Source: RefSeq, a predicted model, not a curated record